This 293-nucleotide ribosomal RNA is filed under the name uncultured bacterium. RNAcentral describes it as "partial 16S ribosomal RNA". The record is from RNAcentral.
GGACUACUGGGGUAUCUAAUCCUGUUCGCUCCCCACGCUUUCGCUCCUCAGCGUCAGUAUCGGCCCAGACCACUGCCUUCGCCAUCGGUGUUCCUCCUGAUAUCUGCGCAUUUCACCGCUACACCAGGAAUUCCAUGGUCCCCUACCGAACUCAAGCCAUAGAAGUAUCAAGUGGCGUCUCUGGGUUAAGCCCAGAGUUUUCACACCUGACUUUCUAAGCCGCCUACGAGCUCUUUACGCCCAAUAAAUCCGGACAACGCUUGCUCCCUACGUAUUACCGCGGCGGCUGGCAC